UACGGAGGGUGCAAGCGUUGUCCGGAAUCACUGGGCGUAAAGGGCGCGUAGGCGGCUCAUGAAGGCUGUGGUGAAAGUCCGGGGCUCAACCUCGGAUCGGCCGUGGCGACUCGUGGGCUGGAGCACUGUAGAGGCGGGUGGAAUUCCGGGUGUAGCGGUGGAAUGCGCAGAUAUCAGGAGGAACACCGGUGGCGAAGGCGGGUCUCUGGGCCGUUACUGACGCUGAGGAGCGAAAGCGUGGGGAGCGAACAGG
Molecule: ribosomal RNA, 253 nt
Filed under: uncultured bacterium
Lineage: Bacteria
Description: partial 16S ribosomal RNA
Rfam family: Bacterial small subunit ribosomal RNA
Source: RNAcentral